This is a small nuclear RNA of Phycodurus eques (leafy seadragon), 164 nucleotides long. RefSeq annotates it as U1 spliceosomal RNA. The record is from RefSeq and is a predicted model, not a curated record. The transcript has a single exon. Lineage: Eukaryota; Metazoa; Chordata; Actinopteri; Syngnathiformes; Syngnathidae.
GCUCAUACCUGGCAGGGGAGACACAUUCAUUAAGAAGGUGAGUCACCCAGGGUGAGACUCAGCCAUUGCAAUUCGGUUGCGCUGACCUCUGCGAAUUCCCCAAAUGUGGGAAUCUCGACUGCAUAAUUUUUGGUCGUGGGGGGCUGCGUUCGCGCUCUUCUCUG